Nothoprocta perdicaria is the source of this 206-nucleotide long non-coding RNA. RefSeq lists it as uncharacterized. Lineage: Eukaryota; Metazoa; Chordata; Aves; Tinamiformes; Tinamidae. The transcript has 3 exons. The record is from RefSeq and is a predicted model, not a curated record.
CCCGCAGGCGCUGGAGAAGAUCCUGCAGCUCAAGGAGAUCCGCCAGGAGGAGCUGGUCACCGUGCCCGGCCUCUCGGCCGAGGACGAGAUGGAGCUGGAGCUGCGGGCGCCCGCCGGCGUGUCGGCCUCCGAAGCGGAGGACGACGGCGGCCUCUCCAAGAAAGAGCGCACCCGCAAGCGCCGCAACCGCAAGAAGAAGAAGCGGG